GACGUAGGGCGCGAGCGUUGUCCGGAUUUAUUGGGCGUAAAGAGCUCGUAGGCGGCUUGUCGCGUCGACUGUGAAAUCCCGCGGCUCAACCGCGGGCUUGCAGUCGAUACGGGCAGGCUUGAGUUCGGUAGGGGAGACUGGAAUUCCUGGUGUAGCGGUGAAAUGCGCAGAUAUCGAGAGGAACACCGGUAGGCGAAGGCGGCUAUCUGGACGAUGACUGACGCUGAGACGCGAAAGCGUGGGGAGCAAACAGG
RNAcentral lists this ribosomal RNA (254 nucleotides) under uncultured bacterium. RNAcentral describes it as "partial 16S ribosomal RNA". It matches the Rfam family "Bacterial small subunit ribosomal RNA", at positions 524 to 776 of the family's 1533-position model. The record is from RNAcentral.